UCCUACCGGGGAGCAGCAGUGGGGAAUUUUGGACAAUGGGCGCAAGCCUGAUCCAGCCAUGCCGCGUGCAGGAUGAAGGCCUUCGGGUUGUAAACUGCUUUUGUACGGAACGAAACGGCUCUUUCUAAUAAAGAGGGCUAAUGACGGUACCGUAAGAAUAAGCACCGGCUAACUACGUGCCAGCAGCCGCGGUAAUACGUAGGGUGCGAGCGUUAAUCGGAAUUACUGGGCGUAAAGCGUGCGCAGGCGGUGAUGUAAGACAGAUGUGAAAUCCCCGGGCUCAACCUGGGAACUGCAUUUGUGACUGCAUCGCUGGAGUGCGGCAGAGGGGGAUGGAAUUCCGCGUGUAGCAGUGAAAUGCGUAGAUAUGCGGAGGAACACCGAUGGCGAAGGCAAUCCCCUGGGCCUGCACUGACGCUCAUGCACGAAAGCGUGGGGAGCAAACAGGAUUAGAUACCCUGGUAGUCCACGCCCUAAACGAUGUCAACUGGUUGUUGGGUCUUCACUGACUCAGUAACGAAGCUAACGCGUGAAGUGACCGCCUGGAGACCCCCACC
This 557-nucleotide ribosomal RNA is filed under the name Acidovorax sp. BA11. RNAcentral's name for it is "bacterial SSU rRNA". It matches the Rfam family "Bacterial small subunit ribosomal RNA", at positions 335 to 887 of the family's 1533-position model. Lineage: Bacteria; Pseudomonadati; Pseudomonadota; Betaproteobacteria; Burkholderiales; Comamonadaceae. The record is from RNAcentral.